CUCCUUACGAAAGAAUGGAGUGUCAUUCUGAUGUUCCAUGCAGUGCUGGAUUGGCUGGUAUGCAGUCUGGUGAGGGCGGCCCUGGCCAGACCAGCAUUUAUUGCGCAUCCCUAAUUGCCCAGAGGGCAGUUGAGAGUCAACCAGAUUGUGGUGGGUCUGGAGUCACACAUAGUCCAGGCCAGGUUAAGUCCAUCGCCACGUCAAGGUGAUCUCGAGGCAGGUACAUCAGUGAUGCCAAGUAGCAGACAAUCGCACUGAGCUAUUCCCACCAGCAGAGAACAAGGAAGUUAAAAGCACUGAAUCCCUUAAUUUCUACUUCAACGUGUCGGGCAGCAGAGUAAAUGUAUCGGAUUGGACUAAGAAAGGAGCC
Molecule: long non-coding RNA, 370 nt
Organism: Hemiscyllium ocellatum (epaulette shark)
Lineage: Eukaryota; Metazoa; Chordata; Chondrichthyes; Orectolobiformes; Hemiscylliidae
Exons: 3
Source: RefSeq, a predicted model, not a curated record